AAAUGCUGGGAUUACAGGCAUGAGCCACCACAGUUGACCAUGACCUGGGCAUGUUUGUGCCUGGGACUGU
Chlorocebus sabaeus (green monkey) is the source of this 70-nucleotide microRNA precursor. It matches the Rfam family "mir-619 microRNA precursor family". The record is from Rfam. Lineage: Eukaryota; Metazoa; Chordata; Mammalia; Primates; Cercopithecidae.